CUCGAUUAAAGCUACAUGUUUUUAAGUCUUUCUGAAACUACUUGUUGGUGUUAAUUAAAAUGCAACUAAUUAAGUAUCAUCGUCAAGGUGAACUGGUUACGUCCUGAUGAUGAGUUGGUUAACACCAUGGAGAAGAAGAGGAAGAAGAAGUCUUCAGGUACCUAAUUAAGAAAAAAAGAGAAAAGAAGAGGAGGAAAAACACGCAAGAGGCUGCCUCGGGCGUGUUGAGGUCAAACGAGCUGCACUUUCGCUGAAGAUGCCUCGGGAUUGACUCAGAGUUCACCAGGGACAAAGAACACGUAUUCGUAGAUGGGAGGCCAAGGACAGGUGACAGUCGUCUGCAAACAACAACAUUUCUUUUCUUUCUUGUCUCUAAAGUUUUCCUCUAUUUGUUUUCCUUUGUGGUGCUGCUGCUGGAGAGAGAAUCAUCCUAUCAUCUCCCACUCUUUGAUAAAAACUGCCACCUUUUUUUUCAUGCCAGCAUGUGGAUAUGUAGCUUAAUUCAGCCGGUUAGUCGACCUAAUCUUAAAACCGACUUGGUGCCACCAAGACUGGAAAAUGGAAUAAACAGCCACAAAUCCGUUUUUUUUUUUUUU
Long non-coding RNA from Mugil cephalus (flathead mullet), 596 nucleotides. RefSeq lists it as uncharacterized. The transcript is spliced from 3 exons. The record is from RefSeq and is a predicted model, not a curated record. Lineage: Eukaryota; Metazoa; Chordata; Actinopteri; Mugiliformes; Mugilidae.